CGGGAAGAGCUCAAAUUUAAAAUCUAGCGUCCUUCGGGCGUUCGAGUUGUAAUCUACAGAAGUGUUUUCCGUACUGGACCGUGUCCAAGUCCCUUGGAAUAGGGUAUCAAAGAGGGUGACAAUCCCGUACUUGACACGACGACCAGUGCUCUGUGAUACAUUUUCUAC
This 168-nucleotide ribosomal RNA is filed under the name Cryptococcus sp. (in: basidiomycete fungi). Its description in RNAcentral is "Cryptococcus sp. (in: Fungi) partial large subunit ribosomal RNA". It matches the Rfam family "Eukaryotic large subunit ribosomal RNA", at positions 99 to 261 of the family's 3401-position model. Lineage: Eukaryota; Fungi; Basidiomycota; Tremellomycetes; Tremellales; Cryptococcaceae. The record is from RNAcentral.